CACUAACUGGAGGACCGAACCGACUAAUGUUGAAAAAUUAGCGGAUGACCUGUGGCUGGGGGUGAAAGGCCAAUCAAACCGGGAGAUAGCUGGUUCUCCCCGAAAGCUAUUUAGGUAGCGCCUCGUGAAUUCAUCUCCGGGGGUAGAGCACUGUUUCGGCUAGGGGGCCAUCCCGGCUUACCAACCCGAUGCAAACUGCGAAUACCGGAGAAUGUUAUCACGGGAGACACACGGCGGGUGCUAACGUCCGUCGUGAAGAGGGAAACAACCCAGACCGCCAGCUAAGGUCCCAAAGUCAUGGUUAAGUGGGAAACGAUGUGGGAAGGCCCAGACAGCCAGGAUGUUGGCUUAGAAGCAGCCAUCAUUUAAAGAAAGCGUAAUAGCUCACUGGUCGAGUCGGCCUGCGCGGAAGAUGUAACGGGGCUAAACCAUGCACCGAAGCUGCGGCAGCGAACGUAUCACCCAAGACAACUUUACGGAGUUGACGAUUGACGGAGCGAAGCGACGUCAAAGCGUUCAUUAAAGUCGAGUUGGCUUAGGGAUACGUUCGUUGGGUAGGGGAGCGUUCUGUAAGCCUGUGAAGGUGUGUCGUGAGGCAUGCUGGAGGUAUCAGAAGUGCGAAUGCUGACAUAAGUAACGAUAAAGCGGGUGAAAAGCCCGCUCGCCGGAAGACCAAGGGUUCCUGUCCAACGUUAAUCGGGGCAGGGUGAGUCGACCCCUAAGGCGAGGCCGAAAGGCGUAGUCGAUGGGAAACGGGUUAAUAUUCCCGUACUUGGUGUUACUGCGAAGGGGGGACGGAGAAGGCUAUGUUGGCCGGGCGACGGUUGUCCCGGUUUAAGCGUGUAGGUGUGUGUUCCAGGUAAAUCCGGUUCACUUUAACACUGAGGCGUGACGACGAGGCACUACGGUGCUGAAGCAACAAAUGCCCUGCUUCCAGGAAAAGCCUCUAAGCAUCAGGUAACACGAAAUCGUACCCCAAACCGACACAGGUGGUCAGGUAGAGAAUACCAAGGCGCUUGAGAGAACUCGGGUGAAGGAACUAGGCAAAAUGGUGCCGUAACUUCGGGAGAAGGCACGCUGACACGUAGGUGAAGUGAUUUACUCAUGGAGCUGAAGUCAGUCGAAGAUACCAGCUGGCUGCAACUGUUUAUUAAAAACACAGCACUGUGCAAACACGAAAGUGGACGUAUACGGUGUGACGCCUGCCCGGUGCCGGAA
This 1218-nucleotide ribosomal RNA is filed under the name Salmonella enterica subsp. enterica. Its description in RNAcentral is "partial 23S ribosomal RNA". It matches the Rfam family "Bacterial large subunit ribosomal RNA", at positions 760 to 1874 of the family's 2925-position model. Lineage: Bacteria; Pseudomonadati; Pseudomonadota; Gammaproteobacteria; Enterobacterales; Enterobacteriaceae. The record is from RNAcentral.